GCCACCACCCACCUCCAUUUUUCCAGAAAUUUCCAUAGUUUUAUACCUCAAGUUUACAUCUCAGAUUCAAACCUUUCUUCUUCCUCCAUCAUCUCUCAAUGUUCUUCUCCCAUCACUCAAAUCUUUUUCUCCAUGUUUCAUAAACAUUUAUUCUCGGUAUUUCAUCUUCUAUUUUCCACAUAUUAGCAUAGACGUUUGUGUAGUGGAGCCUGAUUGUGUGGCUGUGAAUGUUGCAUAAUGAGUCCCGGUGGGGGUGAUUGAUGAUAGCUAUAAAGGGUGUGUAGGAAUAAAAGGAAUUAUGCAGCUGUGACCCCACAAGAGUGAAGAAUUGAUUUUGGGUUAAACGUGAAAGCUACAAUUUGUAACUUUUGAUAGAAUCGCU
Molecule: long non-coding RNA, 382 nt
Filed under: Trifolium pratense (red clover)
Lineage: Eukaryota; Viridiplantae; Streptophyta; Magnoliopsida; Fabales; Fabaceae
Description: long non-coding RNA (TPRA_LNC006109)
Source: RNAcentral